This is a long non-coding RNA of Mirounga angustirostris (Northern elephant seal), 1483 nucleotides long. RefSeq lists it as uncharacterized. NCBI's taxonomy places the organism in Eukaryota, Metazoa, Chordata, Mammalia, Carnivora, Phocidae. The transcript has 3 exons. The record is from RefSeq and is a predicted model, not a curated record.
GGCGUUGUUACACUCUUUCCGGCGGCUUUUAGUGUGCGCCCUCCUCCUUAGGCCAGGCCGCGCACCGCCUCCGUCGCUUGGUAACGGCCAAACUCGCGCAGGAGCUCUUGCCUCUUCUCUCCGCUGGGUGACAGUAGAAGGUCAGCGGAACGAGAGGGGCAGCGGGGGGCCGCGCGGGAGUAGCGGCCCAAGGACCGAGCCCUUCCUCCAAGAGGGAAACCCCAGAGGCUGGAACGAGAAUUGCUUAUCUUUUCCACCCCGGAUUCUAAAGUGGCGGCGUUUUCUUCGGAUUCUCUGGAGCAGCACUGUCUUCCUGCAGUGUUGGAAACGUUCUCUGUCUACACCGUUCAACAUGGCAGCCACCGGCUCCGCGUGGCUACUGCGCCCUGGAAACGUGGCUCCUGUGACUAAGGAGCUGAAUUUGAAAUUUUUAGAGAGCGAGCGAGCACAAGAAGGGGGCGCAGCAGAGGGAGAGGGAGAAGCAGGCUCCCCGCUGAGCAGGGAUCCCAACGUCGGGCUCGAUCCCAGGACCCUGGGAUCAUGACCUGAGCCGAAGGCAGCCGCUUAACCGACUGAACCACCCAGGCGCCCCUACGAUAUUACUGACUAUAUUCCCUAUGCUAUACUUUUCGUCUCUGUGACUUAUUUAUUUUAUAGCUGGAAGUCAAACAUAUUUUCAUAUGAUUGUAUGGUGGACUGCUAUAAGAGAUAUGUAUAUUUGUGUUUGGGCAUAAAACAUUUAUCUACUUUAUUAGUAAUUUCUGUAGGAAAGGGCCAAAUUGAAGUUAUUCAAAUUAUAUAUAUUGACUAGGAUAUAAACUCCACAAACCAGGGGAUUUUGUCUGUUUUGUUCACUGAUAUGUCCCAUGCCUAGAACAGUACCUAGGACAUAUUAGAUGUGCAUUAAAUAUUUUUCAAAAGAUUGUUUUGUGAACUCUUUGGGUUUAACUCAAGAAUAUUUAGAGUUUAUAUUAUUUCAGGAUUGCAUUUAUUUAUAUAAAAUUUCUAUUGUACAACCACCUGGAGAUUAUUUUAGAUUUAAAAAUUUAGAAUUUACACUGUAACAAUCAAGGUAAAUCAAUGAUAAAUUAUUCCUGAAUUUAUUAGUGUUGGCAAAAGAGUCUGUUGAUUGAAGUAAUUUUAGGGUUGAGUACAAGGAAAUAACAUCUCAGGAUCUUUCUGAAUUGCUUUAUCUUAUUUUUAACUUUGGCACUUAACAAAUUUUUUAAAAUAGUUACUUUUCACAUGUAUCAUAUGAUCUCACUGAUAUGAGGAAUUCUUAAUCGCAGGAAACAAACUGAGUGUUGUUGGAGUGGGGGGUGGGGUGGGAGGGAUGGGGUGACUGGGUGAUGGACACUGGGGAGGGUAUGUGCUCUGGUAAGCGCUGUGAAUUGUGCAAGACUGUUGAAUCUCAGAUCUGUACCUCUGAAACAAAUAAUGCAAUAUAUGUUAAGAAAAAAAAGAAGAAGAAGAAGGUAGCAGG